GCUGCGGUGUCCGAGCGGUUAAGGAGAUGGACUUGAAAUCCAUUGGGUAUUACACCCGCACAGGUUCGAGUCCUGUUCGCAGCG
This is a non-coding RNA of Habropoda laboriosa, 84 nucleotides long. The record is from Rfam. NCBI's taxonomy places the organism in Eukaryota, Metazoa, Arthropoda, Insecta, Hymenoptera, Apidae.